Long non-coding RNA from Manis javanica (Malayan pangolin), 3934 nucleotides. RefSeq lists it as uncharacterized. The record is from RefSeq and is a predicted model, not a curated record. NCBI's taxonomy places the organism in Eukaryota, Metazoa, Chordata, Mammalia, Pholidota, Manidae.
CUUGCCAGCACAAGUUAUGUUCUGCCUGAGGGAGGCUGCCCUGCCUUGCCCCGCACGAAAGAGAAUGCAGCUAGCCUCAAGAAUGAAGAUAGAAAUUCACUUUGUCACUCAAGAAACAGCUAUUGAAUAUCGACUUUGUGCCAGGCGUCAUUACUGUUAGAACAAUGCCUGGCACACACUGGACAACAUUUCAAAUGUUGGUUGAAAGCACAAGAAUAAAUAAGCCAACAAAGUGCCCGCAUCAGCGCUGGAGAAUCGCUGCUUUUGUGCCAGCCCACGGGUAGACUCUGCCGGAUGACCAAGGUUUCUGGAUAUGACCAUAUGGCAGUGGGACUGGUGUCUGCAGGUCAGCAGGAGUCCUCCUGUGGGCCCGGCAGCCAGGUGCACGGCUCUGCUGUCAGUCCACCGCCCCGUCGGGUACGCAGCCUCCCCUCCUCUUACCGCGGCUCCUUUCCCUGAAGCGCCUUUAGUCUCCCCCUUUCCACUCCUAAUCCUCUCCUACCAGGGGCUACUUUCCCUUACAUUCUUCUCCCCUUAAAUUCGUAUCUCAUUUUUCAACCCUGUUUCUCACACCAAGAUUCCCAGGGGCAGGCAGGUGAUGGCACCUGCCUUCCUGUCCCACGCCUUCCCUCACCUGUAGGGGUCCCAGCCCCUGGCCAAGGCCCUGUUCCUGAAUUCCAGGCUCUUCAAUGUCUCUGCAGCACGUGGCAAUGUUGAAUUCCUUCCCUCCCUCCCCCAUCCUCCCUCCCUCCCCCAUCCUCCCUCCUUGCCUCCCUCCCUCCCACACUUCUGUGUCUAGCUUCUUUCUUACCUCUUUGAUCUCACUUUCUACUCUCUCCUUCCUGCCUCCUGCAGAAUGGGUGCUUCCAAGGGGUUGGAUUGUAACCUUCUGAUCUUCCCUUCCUCAACCCUCUGCCCACCUCCAGCAUUAUGGUUUUAUUCAUUCAUUUACUCAAAUGUCUUUAUAUUUAUGGGGUUUAACAGUAGGUAGGACCAUUUACUAGGAAUGUCAAGUCCUGCCAUGUCCCAGAUCCUUUUCUAGGCCCUGGACCUAGUGGGAACAGGACCAGGGCCCUGUUCUCCAGAGGGAGGCAGACAGUGAACAAGUAAACAGACAUAUCACAACUGCAGAUGGUGGUAGGUGUUAAAAGGUAAGUAAAAGAGGCUGAUGGGGACAGAGUGGGGGCACUGCUGCCCUGUCUUAGUGGUCAGGGCAGGCUCCUCUUGGAGGUGACACGUGACCUGAUCCUGAGUGACAAGGAAGACAUCCGCAUCUUUGGCAGAAGCGUAUUCAGGGUGUGGAGCUGAGAUGUCAGUGAUGUCUAUACAGAUGACUAUGAACUCAGGGCCACAGUUCAUGACUUCUUUUAAAUUGAAGUACAGAUGACUCACAAUAUUUUAUUGGUUUCAGGUGGACAACAUAGUGAUUUGAGAAUUAUGCACAUUAUGCAAUGCCCACCACGCAGAGCAUGGUGGCUUAAAGUGUACACUCUGAAGACAAUCUCAGGGUUUGAAUCCCAAGUCUGUCCCAGAGUGGUCCCAUGAUCUCUAGGGUUCCAGUUCCUCAUUGAUGAACUGUUGAUGAUAAAAGGAUCCAUCUCCAGUGUUGCCACAAGGUUUAAAUGAGUGAAUGCACAUAAGCAUGUGGCACUCUGGGACCACAGGUGAGAAGUGGGAUUUCGACCUCAAGGAGCAACGGACCUAAAGAGACGAUUACAAUCCAACAUGAUGUGAGCAGGAAACACGUACUGGGGACUCCCUAAAAUUUUACAUGAGGGCAUCACCUCAUGUUUGCCCAAUGUCAGACAGGUACUCUGAUCAUCCCUAUUUAACGAAGUAGCAGUUGAUGGCUGGACAAUGAAUGAGCCCCAUGGAAGAAAACUCUGUCUGACUCCAAAGCCUGCAUUCUUAACAUUCAACCAAAAUUGCUCUGAUGAAGGGGAGCGUGUGGUGUGCUGGAAGAGCGAAUGGAGGAAGGAAGGUUUGGAGGGAGACACGGCAAGCAUCACAGGGUGCUGACAGCAUCCCAUGAAUGGGGAUGUAGGUAGAGAAGCAGGAAGCACAUUCCGGGAAGAAGUGAGAGCAAAUGCAAAGCCGUGUAGUAUGAAAGCCCAGGGGACACCAGGAGCAUCUGGGGUUCUGCGUGCUGGAACAGGAUGAUGGGGUGUGGAGUAAGGCUGAGGAGUAAAGGGCCAGAAUGUAUGCCUCUCUGCACUCCAGCUCUUCCGUAUAGCGGGUGGUCUAGUGUACAGUAGAUGCCCUCUCUCCUUGCUUGGUGAUUAGGACAGAAUGGGGCACAUUGUUUUUUUAUGCAGUGUUGACCAGUAUUUUCAUACAGAGGAUGCAUUAUCAUGACAACUACUCUACCUUCACCCUAAGUUGACAGCCAGGCCUUUGAUGAACAAAUGCUGAACUUCAGAAGGAAACAGCCUCAUAUACCCCAAACGCAGCACAUCACAAUCAUGACAAUUGCACAACGGGCGUACAUGCAAGUCAUUUUAGUGCAGCCCGCUGAAGUGAAGGCUUUUAGUAUUCACGCUGAUGGCUUGUUGUGAGCCUUGCCUAAGGAUGCUGUGAGGGGCAUUUUUUUCUUGAAAUAAUUUUGGAACCAGUGUUUCUGAGUCUGUGUAGAGUCUCUUUAGUCGGACUGCACAGAUUCAGGAUCUGCAGGCUCAGUCUUGCAGAUUAAGUCUUCCCUGAGAAGACAGUGAUGUUUUUUCAUUCCUAAAAGCAGGGCUUAGCUGAAGCUUAGAGGAACAUUUUAUUUUUUUUCUACCAGAGCAGAAGUCAAACUCUGACGUUUACUAGACAUGUGGCUUUGGAGAAGUCUCUUAUCUGUUUCUUAUCUCAGUUUCCUUAUCUGUACAAUGAGAACAAUGGUAUUAAUAUGAGUAUUGUUACUAUUAUAAAUAAUACAUCAUUGGAUCAUUAUGAAGGUUAUAAAAUUAAUACAUGCUUCUUGUAGAAGAGUGCCAGGCUCACCGUGAGCAGCCCUGAAUUAUGUGUUCCUUGCAUUAGGGAGGCUUCACUGAAAGCAGGAGUGAAAUCAAGGCUUUGUUCUGCUCACUAAGGCCAGAGCCACGCAGACGGGCCCCAUUGCUAUUUGGCACAAAGGCACAGGAUGGGUUAGCAGCAGUCCUGCUGGAGAGGCACUGAAUUUGCCCUCAUCUACUCACACGGCUUUGCUCUCUUCAUUUUGUGACUAUUGAGAAAUAUUUGUGAAAUAGAUACACUGAAAAGCUGCAUUCGAUUGGUUAUUGGUUAUAAAACAUCUCCAAUCUUGCCAUUCAUGUUUUUAACACCCCUAGCUUUAUUAGAACAUUUGGCCAAGAAACACUUGGGGAAACAGUCUCUCUUGAUUAUUCUUUGCAGCGUCCCUGGUCCUCCUCUCCAUGCACCUACAAGCACACUGAUGGCGCCUCACAAGGCUGCUACGGCGUAUACAAUCACGGGGCAUGCUGGGUUCCUCCCAUCCCUCUCAGAAAAGCUUGAGACAUACUGACGAUGCAAGCCAAGCUUACCUAGCAAUUUCUCCAUUGAUGUGAACUAACAUUCACUGUGACUGCAUGGGAGCCCACACAUAUCUCCACAUUCUCCACAACAGCAAUUUCCAAAGAAACAAUAGCCCAAACAAACAAUAGCACCUGGACAACAUGGGGGGUUGGCCUUAGAGGUCAAACUGGACUGGGAAGCUUCUGUUACUCGACUAUCAAGAACAACUAAUAAAUGCCUGAUUUUUAUUUAGAGGAGCAGCAAAUAACAUUGAUGGAGUCCUUGAUUUGGGAUCAGAAAGCUGAGCUUGACGUUUGGCUCUGGGUGACCUUGAGCAAAUGCACCAAAUUCCUCCCUCAGCACUGAAAUGGGCCUUAGUGGUCAAGAUGCACAUACUGAGGUGGAGAGUUUAAGGGUCUUGCCAAACAUGACUAAGUUCACA